Molecule: long non-coding RNA, 1107 nt
Filed under: Apteryx owenii (little spotted kiwi)
Lineage: Eukaryota; Metazoa; Chordata; Aves; Apterygiformes; Apterygidae
Description: lncRNA (ENSAOWG00000009459.1)
Source: RNAcentral
GCAUGAGCAUUUGCAAUCCUUAACUUCCUUUAUCAAAUUCUGCGGUCCUUGAACAGUAAAACUCCCAAGAAAAUUACAUGUAUUUUGCCAGCAGACCCAACGCGUUAACGAAUACUGCGUCAUAAUGCCGCACUAAGGCUGAGAGGUAUAAUAAACCCCACUUUACGAAGGACGAAAACCAAAAUACAGACAAAUGAAUCAGCUUGCACAAUGUCACACACAGGAGAGUCAGAGGGAGUAAGAAAUCACAGCUUUUCCAAGUCCUUUUGAGGCAAUACUCUGACAACCAUUUUGGAACAGUUACCCAUAUCACUAAUGUACAGUAACGAUACCACUCACAUGCCCCAAAUCGCUGCUGACUUACAGAAAUAUGCCAUGGCCCUUGCUUAGCCUUGUUUCACAUAAUCUUGCAAAGUUCCACAGAUUUAUCUGGUAACAGUAACCAAUUCAUGCGUAAUGAGAGCUGAAGUUUAACACUGAAAUAAUUCUUUUAUCUCUCAGUAUCCUUUCCCUCCCUGCGCUUAGUUGCAAUUAAACCAUCUCUGUGGCAAAAAAAUAGUAGCAAAAGGAAUAAAAACAAAUGCAUCCUUAUGCUGAACUCAAGAAGGAUGAAUAUGCUGUAGUAAGUAUAUGGGCUGCUGGAUGCACCUCCUUCCAAAGGGCUGAGGAAUGCCAUUAAGAAGCGCUACCAUUGCACGUUAACGGGGCCCGCUGCCCCACAACAUGGGAUGGAGAAAACGCGAAGGGUCGGCCAUUUAGAGAGCGCUCGAUAAAACAGUCUUAACCCACCAGUCUUCCAAGCAACAGAACGUCAUUUCUUAGUCGAGCUCCUGGCUGUACAGUUACCUCCGCUGCUGCCUUGUACGAGUGCUGCUGUGUAUGUGCUGUUCUUAUAUACGUGUGUAUUUACGCCUGUCCGUCUUGCUGCAGGGACCACCAUUGUUGCUGCUAUUCCUGUUGUUCCCCUGCUCUGCGGAACUGGCGCUGCAGGAGGCAAGGAUGCUCCAAGGGAGCCAGCUACAGCCAGCGAAGGCUCAACUGCCGUUCGGAGGACAGGCUACUGCUAAGAGACGGAGACAGAGAACGCUAUGUUGGAGUUGGUUCUAA